UGGGGAAUUUUGGGCAAUGGGGGCAACCCUGAUCCAGCAAUGCCGCGUGAGUGAAGAAGGCCUUCGGGUUGUAAAGCUCUUUUGUCAGGGAAGAAACGGUAGUAGCGAAUAACUACUACUAAUGACGGUACCUGAAGAAUAAGCACCGGCUAACUACGUGCCAGCAGCCGCGGUAAUACGUAGGGUGCAAGCGUUAAUCGGAAUUACUGGGCGUAAAGCGUGCGCAGGCGGUUGUGUAAGUCAGAUGUGAAAUCCCCGGGCUCAACCUGGGAAUUGCAUUUGAGACUGCACGGCUAGAGUGUGUCAGAGGAGGGUAGAAUUCCACGUGUAGCAGUGAAAUGCGUAGAUAUGUGGAGGAAUACCGAUGGCGAAGGCAGCCCCCUGGGAUAACACUGACGCUCAUGCACGAAAGCGUGGGGAGCAAACAGGAUUAGAUACCCAGGUAGUCCCUGAGCGGGCUGGCAAGGCGCAU
This 472-nucleotide ribosomal RNA is filed under the name uncultured bacterium. RNAcentral's name for it is "bacterial SSU rRNA". It matches the Rfam family "Bacterial small subunit ribosomal RNA", at positions 355 to 825 of the family's 1533-position model. The record is from RNAcentral.